This 253-nucleotide ribosomal RNA is filed under the name uncultured bacterium. Its description in RNAcentral is "partial 16S ribosomal RNA". It matches the Rfam family "Bacterial small subunit ribosomal RNA", at positions 524 to 776 of the family's 1533-position model. The record is from RNAcentral.
UACGUAGGGUGCAGGCGUUAAUCGGAAUUACUGGGCGUAAAGCGUGCGCAGGCGGUUUCUUAAGUCAGAUGUGAAAGCCCCGGGCUUAACCUGGGAACUGCGUUUGAAACUGGGAGAUUUGAGUGUGGCAGAGGGGGGUGGAAUUCCACGUGUAGCAGUGAAAUGCGUAGAUAUGUGGAGGAACACCGAUGGCGAAGGCAGCCCCCUGGGUUAACACUGACGCUCAUGCACGAAAGCGUGGGGAGCAAACAGG